UACAGAGGUAUCAAGCGUUGUUCGGAUUCAUUGGGCGUAAAGGGCGCGUAGGCGGCGCGGUAAGUCGGGCGGGAAAUCUUGGAGCUUAACUCCGAAACUGCAUUCGAUACUGCCGGGCUUGAGGACUGGAGAGGAGACUGGAAUUUACGGUGUAGCGGUGAAAUGCGUAGAUAUCGAAAGGAAGACCAGUGGCGAAGGCGGGUCUCUGGACAGUUCCUGACGCUGAGGCACGAAGGCCAGGGGAGCAAACGGG
RNAcentral lists this ribosomal RNA (253 nucleotides) under uncultured bacterium. RNAcentral describes it as "partial 16S ribosomal RNA". It matches the Rfam family "Bacterial small subunit ribosomal RNA", at positions 524 to 776 of the family's 1533-position model. The record is from RNAcentral.